ACGGAAGGCAGCAGUGGGGAAUAUUGGACAAUGGGGGAAACCCUGAUCCAGCGACGCCGCGUGAGUGAAGAAGUAUUUCGGUAUGUAAAGCUCUAUCAGCAAGGAAGAAAAUGACGGUACUUGACUAAGAAGCUCCGGCUAAAUACGUGCCAGCAGCCGCGGUAAUACGUAUGGAGCAAGCGUUAUCCGGAUUUACUGGGUGUAAAGGGAGCGUAGACGGCCUAGCAAGUCUGAAGUGAAAGCCCGGGGCUCAACCCCGGAACUGCUUUGGAAACUGUUAAGCUAGAGUACAGGAGAGGUAAGCGGAAUUCCUAGUGUAGCGGUGAAAUGCGUAGAGAUUAGGAAGAACACCGGCGGCGAAGGCGGCUUACUGGACGAGUACUGACGCUCAGGUGCGAAAGCGUGGGGAGCAAACAGGAUUAGAUACCCUGGUA
This 434-nucleotide ribosomal RNA is filed under the name uncultured Clostridium sp. RNAcentral's name for it is "partial 16S ribosomal RNA". It matches the Rfam family "Bacterial small subunit ribosomal RNA", at positions 341 to 792 of the family's 1533-position model. Lineage: Bacteria; Bacillati; Bacillota; Clostridia; Eubacteriales; Clostridiaceae. The record is from RNAcentral.